AGAGUUUGAUCCUGGCUCAGGAUGAACGCUAGCGACAGGCUUAACACAUGCAAGUCGAGGGGCAGCGGGGGAGUAGCAAUGCUCCCGCCGGCGACCGGCGCACGGGUGAGUAACACGUAUGGAACCUGCCCGCAGCAGGGGGAUAAGCGGAAGAAAUUCCGUCUAAUACCGCGUAACACCGCGGAGGGGCAUCCCUCGGCGGUUAAAGAUUCAUCGGCUGCGGAUGGCCAUGCGGCGCAUUAGCUAGUCGGCGGGGUAACGGCCCACCGAGGCGACGAUGCGUAGGGGUUCUGAGAGGAAGGUCCCCCACACUGGUACUGAGACACGGACCAGACUCCUACGGGAGGCAGCAGUGAGGAAUAUUGGUCAAUGGCCGGGAGGCUGAACCAGCCAAGUCGCGUGAGGGAAGACGGCCCUACGGGUUGUAAACCUCUUUUGUCAGGGAGCAAGGUGCAGGUCGGGACCUGCUGUGAGAGUACCUGAAGAAAAAGCAUCGGCUAACUCCGUGCCAGCAGCCGCGGUAAUACGGAGGAUGCGAGCGUUAUCCGGAUUUAUUGGGUUUAAAGGGUGCGCAGGCGGAGGCACAAGUCAGCGGUAAAAUCGCGGGGCUCAACCCCGCUCCGCCGUUGAAACUGUGUCCCCUGAGUGCGCGAAGGGUAGGCGGAAUGCGUGGUGUAGCGGUGAAAUGCAUAGAUAUCACGCAGAACUCCGAUCGCGAAGGCAGCCUACCGGCGCGCAACUGACGCUCAUGCACGAAAGCGUGGGGAUCGAACAGGAUUAGAUACCCUGGUAGUCCACGCAGUAAACGAUGAAUGCUAGUUGUCCGGUUCUUUGGGACUGGGUGACACAGCGAAAGCGUUAAGCAUUCCACCUGGGGAGUACGCCGGCAACGGUGAAACUCAAAGGAAUUGACGGGGGCCCGCACAAGCGGAGGAACAUGUGGUUUAAUUCGAUGAUACGCGAGGAACCUUACCCGGGCUCAAACGUCGGAGGACGUGUGGAGAAAUCCGCAUUUCCCUCGGGACUUCCGACGAGGUGCUGCAUGGUUGUCGUCAGCUCGUGCCGUGAGGUGUCGGCUUAAGUGCCAUAACGAGCGCAACCCCCAUCUACAGUUGCUAACAGGUGAAGCUGAGGACUCUGUGGAGACUGCCGGCGCAAGCUGAGAGGAAGGCGGGGAUGACGUCAAAUCAGCACGGCCCUUACGUCCGGGGCGACACACGUGUUACAAUGGCAGGUACAGCGGGAAGCCACUUGGCGACAAGGAGCGGAACCCGAAAACCUGUCUCAGUUCGGAUUGGAGUCUGCAACCCGACUCCAUGAAGCUGGAUUCGCUAGUAAUCGCGCAUCAGCCACGGCGCGGUGAAUACGUUCCCGGGCCUUGCACUCACCGCCCGUCA
Molecule: ribosomal RNA, 1397 nt
Filed under: uncultured bacterium
Lineage: Bacteria
Description: 16S ribosomal RNA
Rfam family: Bacterial small subunit ribosomal RNA
Source: RNAcentral